AAACUAACAAGGAUUCCCCUAGUAACUGCGAGUGAAGCGGGAAAAGCUCAAAUUUAAAAUCUGGCGGUCUCCSGCCGUCCGAGUUGUAGUCUGGAGAAGCGCUUUCCGCGUUGGACCGUGUACAAGUUUCCUGGAACGGAGCGUCAUAGAGGGUGAGAAUCCCGUCUUUGACACGGACCCCAAUGCUUUGUGAUGCGCUCUCAAAGAGUCGAGUUGUUUGGGAAUGCAGCUCAAAAUGGGUGGUGAAUUCCAUCUAAAGCUAAAUAUUGGCGAGAGACCGAUAGCGAACAAGUACCGUGAGGGAAAGAUGAAAAGCACUUUGGAAAGAGAGUUAAACAGUACGUGAAAUUGUUGAAAGGGAAACGCUUGAAGUCAGUCGCGUCGGCCGGGACUCAGCCUUGCAUUCGCUUGGUGUACUUUCCGGUUGACGGGCCAGCAUCAGUUUUGACCGCGAGACAAAGGCGGAGGGAAUGUGGCUCUUUCGGGAGUGUUAUAGCCCUUCGUCGCAUGUCGCGGUUGGGACUGAGGACACGCAGCACGCCUUUAUGGCCGGGGUUCGCCCACGUACGUGCUUAGGAUGCUGGCGUAAUGGCUUUAAACGACCCGUCUUGAAACACGGACCAAGGAGUCUAACAUGCCUGCGAGUGUUCGGGUGGAAAACCCGUGCGCGUAAUGAAAGUGAAAGUUGGGAUCCCUGUCGUGGGGUGCACCGACGCCCGGACCAGACCUUUUGUGACGGAUCUGCGGUAGAGCAUGUAUGUUGGGACCCGAAAGAUGGUGAACUAUGCCUGAAUAGGGUGAAGCCAGAGGAAACUCUGGUGGAGGCUCGUAGCGAUUCUGACGUGCAAAUCGAUUGUCAAAUUUGGGUAUAGGGGCGAAAGACUAAUCGAACCAUCUAGUAGCUGGUCUUGN
This 912-nucleotide ribosomal RNA is filed under the name Acanthophysium sp. GEL5022. Its description in RNAcentral is "eukaryotic LSU rRNA". It matches the Rfam family "Eukaryotic large subunit ribosomal RNA", at positions 62 to 960 of the family's 3401-position model. Lineage: Eukaryota; Fungi; Basidiomycota; Agaricomycetes; Russulales; Stereaceae. The record is from RNAcentral.